Haemorhous mexicanus (house finch) is the source of this 1928-nucleotide long non-coding RNA. RefSeq lists it as uncharacterized. The transcript has 2 exons. NCBI's taxonomy places the organism in Eukaryota, Metazoa, Chordata, Aves, Passeriformes, Fringillidae. The record is from RefSeq and is a predicted model, not a curated record.
CACUCCUGGCCUUUUGAGACCCUUAUCCCCGGCGGACCCCACUCCGGGGUGCUUUCUCCCACGUUCAGCCCUGCACAUCAGGGCUGCUCCUUGGCAGGGCCGAGGACUUGGCCGCCGCCUCCUUCCUGUGUCUCAGCAGGGCACUGCUGCGAGGCGUGGAGGCUGUUUGUGCACUCACGAGUUUCCGGAGCACCCCGAGGUCCCCAGAGCUCACUGCAUCCCGAAUUCCUGCUGCGGGGUCGCCACAUGUGGGUGCUGCCCGUGCAGAGUGACACGUUCCCAGAUCCCUCGCUGUCGUGGCCCCUUCAUCCUGCCUUGCCGGGAGGGCGUUGGAAAAGCACUGAUAUCAUCGGCACCGAGCCUGACUCAUCCUGGCUCUUCAGCACAAGCCGUGCCGCUCAGCGGGGCACACAUUUUAUUCCAAUUAAACCAUUGCAGGCAAGCCAGCUCUACAUAAUGAUUUUUUUUUUACUCGUAGCAAAGCGUGCCUUCCCCAGGCCAAAAGGUGAGAGGGGACAGAAGUGACGCUGGAGUCAGUGGAGAGUCUCAACUUCUGGUACGGAGCCCUAAGAAAAAGUCUUGCCAGAAACCUGCAGGGUCUGUCUCGGCUGCCGCAGCAUCCCUGCCUCCAGUGCGGGCUCUCAGCACUGCCUUGUGUCAACAGCCCCUGCCCUUUCCGCAAAUGCCCAGGUCACGAGCCCAGGUGGGAAUGUCACCUCUUCUCCCCACGACGCGGAGUCCAGCUCCUGCCAAAAGACCCCAGGGGGAGCAGCAUCAAAGUGCCCCUGUCAUUGUGAGAAAAUGUAAGGCGACUUGUUCCUCCUGCCCUUCCUGCUCAGGUUUUUCCCGUUUAUUAGAGGUUUGGGAGGUGAGUCAGGGAGCUGCGGGGUGAGGAUGGAGCUGGGGAGGAAUCGGCAGCUAAGGAAAGGCAAACCAGUUCCAGGCACAGGUGAAUCACUUGGUGGUGAAAAUACAUCUUAUUCUCUGGGAGGCAUUCGUGGAUGGGGUUGGGAGUGAGCUGCAGUUUAACUCCAUCAGAAAAUUGUGGAGUCAAGAAAAAAUAAAAGGCAAGGCAAGGCUGCUUUUCCAGUAAAUGAGGCGAUACAUUGCAAAGGAGCAGCCUGCAGCCGGCAAAGCUCCAGCAACCCGCGGUCCUGUGGCUCCCUUAAAAGGGGCGAUUUUAGCCUGGGACAGCGGGGAGACAGAAAAGCCAUAAACACCCUCAAAGGAAUGUGGCUGCUGAGAAACGAGAAUCUCGGCAGGCGAGGCGAGGUGGGGGGAGCCUGGAUGGGGUUUGCACCAGCACUCCGUGCCUGGAGCCAGCUUGUUCCUUGGCCAUGCCCUGUCCCGAGGGAAGACCCCCUGUGGCAGUGCUAACAGUCCCUGUGUGCUGCUGGGAGAGGCUCUGCCAAGCCCCGGGGUGUCAUGUCCCCAUGUCCUCCGGCCCCAUGCCAUACAGACAUUCCUGCUUGCCAGCUGCUGGCACGGGAGCAGGUAGAGCUGGGAGGUGCUGUGGGGACAGCAGGACACCAGCCUGGGCCAAAGAAGGAGCAGGCAGGGCUGGCAGAGGGUGCCUGUCCCAGAGGAAUUUCCUCUCCAUCAUAUCCCACUUCUUUACAAGCAUCUGAACUACUCUGCACAGACUUUGCUCUUAGUGCCAUGGAGCAGCCCUGUGGGUUCUGGGGCAUUGUGCAGGUUCUUGGGAAGAGCCCUUGGGGCUGGCUUGUCCCUGCAGGUAGCUGGGGGCAUGUUGUGACACCUCUGGGCCAGGCUCUCCCCUCUGUGUCCCAGGCUGGUGGCAAAUGGAAUGUGCCUGACUGAAAUGAACAUGCUGCUUGAUUUUCUUCCAGGGCUGAUGAAGAUGCAGCACGUGGCACUCAUCUGUAAAUAAAUGUUGUAGUUUGUUGGUUUUGUUGAUCUUUCAUAAA